This 22-nucleotide small nuclear RNA is filed under the name Arabidopsis thaliana (thale cress). Its description in RNAcentral is "snRNA_13588". The record is from RNAcentral. Lineage: Eukaryota; Viridiplantae; Streptophyta; Magnoliopsida; Brassicales; Brassicaceae.
AAAAGUGUCUAAUUACGUAAUA